GAUGAACGCUGGCGGUAUGCCUUAUACAUGCAAGUCGAACGAGAUUUUUAAUCAAGUGGCGGACGGGUGAGUAACACGUAAGAAUUUACCUUUAGGAGGGGGAUAACAAUUGGAAACAGCUGCUAAUACCCCAUAUGCUUUUAAGUGAAAUGGAUUAUUUUCCGCCUGAAGAGAAGCUUGCGGCUGAUUAGCUUGUUGGUAAGGUAAAAGCUUACCAAGGCGACGAUCAGUAUCUGGUUUGAGAGGACGAUCAGACACACUGGAACUGAGACACGGUCCAGACUCCUGCGGGAGGCAGCAGUAGGGAAUUUUCCGCAAUGGGCGAAAGCCUGACGGAGCAAUACCGCGUGAGGGAUGAAUGCCUAUGGGUUGUAAACCUCUUUUUUCAGGGUAGGAAAUAAGACGUUACCUGAAGAAUAAGCAUCGGCUAACUCCGUGCCAGCAGCCGCGGUAA
This 454-nucleotide ribosomal RNA is filed under the name uncultured bacterium. RNAcentral's name for it is "bacterial SSU rRNA". It matches the Rfam family "Bacterial small subunit ribosomal RNA", at positions 28 to 523 of the family's 1533-position model. The record is from RNAcentral.